CGACUGGUUGCCUCGGCAUUACCCUCUCUUCCACACAAAGCUCACAUCGGCGGCUGCUCUGUUAUUUCACACAGGCGCGCCGCGGCGGCCAUUCCCCACCGGUAAGAUGUCGACGGACGGAUUGGAGGUCGACGGGUAUGUUCUUAUUGCUUCAACGUCUCUCUCCCCCGAGUUCCUUCCUCCAUCUUUUUGCAAAUCCCUCCACUGAUGGUGCUAGAUUUGAUUGCAAGAGGGGGGGAGCCAACAUCACUGGAACCUAUGGCCUGUUCGUCAGCUUAUGCCGCCGCUAUGCCCUGGACCAUAUCCCCUCGCCCAUGGCAUUCGUUCGAAUCAGCACACGAGAGAGAAUCUGAUGCUGGCCCCUUACCCCCUGGCGAUAUCCUAACCCUCGUGGAAUAAGCCAUAGCCACGGAACAACUCUUCCUCUCGAUCCCCUUUUCUCUUCCCUACGCGCACGGCGGCGCCGGUGCUCUCCGGCGAGAUGUGUACCAAUGGUGUCAAUUGCAACGGAAUCUUUGGCGGUCCUUCCGCUUGGAGUGGUUUCGUCCUACCUGUGGAGUCUCAGGAUUCCAUGAGCAUCGUCAAUGCCGCGAUGGGCGCCGCCCGCAAGACCUUAGAGCCAUGUGGAGAGGCGGCUGGAUAUGAGGUGUUCUCUGAAGAUACCAGUGGCUGGACACGCAGGUUAGUGAUGAAAAGUCUUGGAGAUCCUUCUAUCUGCUUACAAGUGGUGUUUAGACGUGUUGCAUCUUAGCUAAGCGGGUAUUUUCUUGUGGGUGUGUUGACAUUCAGUAUAGGAACGGCCUGUUUGGUGAAUUUGUAGAACGAUUAUUGGAUUUUUCCUACCCCGCCCCCCAAUGCAGCAUUCAUGUAUUGUUUACUGUUAUGUGGCCAAUUUAUUUUAUUGGUCGUUGUGUUGUUGUUUGAUUUUGUCAGCCGCAGUGGCAACCAUCUUGGAUUUGCUUAUGGAUGAUUUGGUACAAAACAGUGUUGUAAUGUGCAUCUAGAGAAAAGAAACAAUAAUUUGGUAUUGGGCUUCUGAUUUUUAGCUUCCGGUGUACUUGAAAGCUGGAUUGUUGGGUGCUGUUUAGAUUUUGUCUAGUUGCAACUCUAGGAUUAGGUUGGUGGAUUUGUUAAGAUGGUGUAUUGUAGGUUUGUUUAGCAGGCUUGGAGUUGUCCUUGUGUUGUUCUGACACAGCAGGAAGAUAGUUUGAUUUGUAUGUUUCAGCAUUGUUAGCUGGGGAUUUAGGUUGGUCAUUAUGUAAUUGGGUUUAAUUCUUGAUGCUCGGUGUGCGGCUUAUUUUGCCUCCGAGGAGAGAUCUGAUAUUGCCAGAUAGAUUUUUUCUGGGUUUGAUAUUCAGUUUACAAAUGAGGCUAAUCAAUUGUUUAUAAUCAGACCCAAAUGUUGUGGCGUGAAUCCAAAACCAUUGUUUUCAGCAAUCAGUGAUGCACCCCUGGUCAUACGUAUUUGUUAGUCUACAUUACCUAUAUAUAUACUUGUUUUUAUCUGUAUGCACCCGUCAGUUAGUUAACUGAAAUUUGUUGGUAGUGGUGCAUUGUAUUCUUUAACUGCUAUACUGAAGCAACGAAUUGAAACAGUUAAAAACAAUAAGCUCUUAAGUAAUUAACCAAUACUUGAUGGCUGUGUUAUUAUUAUAGUAUAUAUUUUUGGCCCUGGAUUACGAAUCAGACUGAAAUUUCCUGGUUUCCUGGUUUUGUGUUAUUAAUACAUUGGGUUUAAAUUGGAGCCUUUUUCUCUUAAACUGCAAUUUGUUGUUAGCCUCUCACUUAUGUGUGUUGUUAUAUAUCUGACGAAAAUAUAUACUGGUGUCAGUCCUCCAAAUGGGGAAACUGCCAUUGUUCUGUGCCAUAAAUAAAACAUCUUGCAAAUGCAGUUGAUUCUACCUUGUGUCUGAGAUUUACACAGGAAGAGUUAACUAUACUCUUCGCAUCUGCCAGUUUUAUGAUCACCUUCAUUUGAUACCCAAUCAUGUCUAAUUUCUCUUGCCCCACUGGUAUUUGUUGAAUUUGUUGUAGCACUUGGACAGUGAGGAGUGGACUUUUACCAUAUGUACAUGCAUGUCUCGGGAAUUACUGGUACAUGUCAGCGAAAGAGUCAUGUCUCUAUGAUAUAACUAGUUUUUCAGUGAGACAUGCCGACAUGUUACACAAAAAACUGGGUACAAAAUUUACCAUGAAUGAUGUUUCAUUGAUUGCUCCUUCCAGUGCUAUUUAAGUUCAUAUCUACAUCUAAUCUUGCUACAAAUUACCUUUUCUGGCAUACAUGUACGAUGAUUUUUUUUACGUCAGCUGUAAUGACAAAGCAUUAUGUGUCAGACACAUGUUCAAUUAGAUGAUGUACAAUUCCAGCUAGUAGAUUAUGGAGACUUGUUUGUGGAACCUUCCAAACAUGUUAAUCAAUGGCUGUUAAACAGUGUAAGCAUGGGCCUGCUGCUGGCACA
Molecule: long non-coding RNA, 2459 nt
Organism: Triticum dicoccoides
Lineage: Eukaryota; Viridiplantae; Streptophyta; Magnoliopsida; Poales; Poaceae
Exons: 2
Source: RefSeq, a predicted model, not a curated record